Oryza sativa Indica Group (long-grained rice) is the source of this 103-nucleotide microRNA precursor. It matches the Rfam family "MIR2275 microRNA precursor family". The record is from Rfam. NCBI's taxonomy places the organism in Eukaryota, Viridiplantae, Streptophyta, Magnoliopsida, Poales, Poaceae.
GCACUGAAAGUGAGAGUUGGAUGAAAACAAACUGACUGAUCAUCAGACAACUCCAACAGAUCACUGAUCAGCUUGUUUUCCUCCAAUAUCUCACCUUCAGCAA